RNAcentral lists this ribosomal RNA (37 nucleotides) under Lactarius chrysorrheus. RNAcentral's name for it is "partial 28S ribosomal RNA". The record is from RNAcentral. Lineage: Eukaryota; Fungi; Basidiomycota; Agaricomycetes; Russulales; Russulaceae. RNAcentral also lists the same sequence under 7 other names.
UUGACCUCAAAUCGGGUGAGACUACCCGCUGAACUUA